CUCCGAGAUCACAACCGAGCGCCGCGCGGCUAAACCGUUCUUCAUGGAGCAGUUUCACUCGAGGUGUUCUGUACAAAUAACUCGUUUAAAAUCAUUUUUAACCAUAAAAUGGAUAAUUACAGCACUAAACGUGAUUUUUUUUUCAGCACGGGCUUGUUUCCGUGCCUGCGUUUACUGGAGAGUUUAAUCAGCAUCGAAAGCCUUUCGUAAAAGCUCAGACUCGUUAUGAACGAUCAUCUGACGAAUACUCAGACUCGUUUUUAAAAACUACGAUUUAUUAUAAAUAGGGCUCAAACACUCAGACUGGUUAUGAAACAUCUGACUGGUUAUUAAACCUCAGAUCCGCUAUGAAUAUCGUCUCCGUGAUGACUCAGAAUCAUUAUAAACACCAGGCCACUUGACAAAGACUCGGACUCGUGAAUACACAGAGGCUUUAUGAAGACUUGGAGGCAUUGUGAAGGCUCGGAGUCGUUAUAAACAUUAGACUACAUGAUAGAAACCCAGCUAUUAUCAAGACUCAGACUGAGGACUAAGACUAUGACGAUUAAGACUUAUUAUAACGACUAAGAUUCAUUAUAAAGAAAAGGCCAGAUCAGAAGAAAGAGACUCAUUAUUUAGACACGGCUUCGUUAAAGAAUAAAUCUCAUUAUGAAGACUCACACUAAUUGUGAAGAGAAGUCCAUGUGACUCAUUAACAUUAAUCCAUAUUAUAAAAAUUCAUGCUCAUUAUGAAGACUAGGAUCCAUCACACCAGGCCAUAUAAUAAAAACAAACUCGGACUCGUAUGAAGACUCGGACUCGUUAUGAAGACUCGAUAUUCG
This is a long non-coding RNA of Ictalurus punctatus (channel catfish), 821 nucleotides long. The record is from Ensembl. Lineage: Eukaryota; Metazoa; Chordata; Actinopteri; Siluriformes; Ictaluridae.